RNAcentral lists this ribosomal RNA (1301 nucleotides) under Eupolyphaga hanae. RNAcentral's name for it is "16S ribosomal RNA". The stretch from base 865 to 1230 matches the Rfam family "Archaeal large subunit ribosomal RNA", at positions 2150 to 2716 of the family's 2987-position model. The record is from RNAcentral. Lineage: Eukaryota; Metazoa; Arthropoda; Insecta; Blattodea; Corydiidae.
UAAUAAAUUAUUUAUUAUUAUUUUUUAUUGUAUGUAUUUGAUUGAAAGAUCUUAUUGUUAUUGUAUUGAUUAUUGAUUUAAUUAUUUAAUGAUAGUUUAGUGGUACUGUGAGGGUUUAUUAUUUAAUUUAUAUAAAGUAAAUUUUGUUUAUUGUACCUUGUGUAUCAGGGUUUAUUUAAAUUAUUUAUAUAUGUUAUUUUUCUCGAUUUUAGAAGAGUUAAUAAUUUAUUUUGGUUACUGUUGAAUAAGUAUCAAUAAUAUUUAUUGGUGGUGAUAUGUUAUGUCGAUUUUAAGUGUAUCUGGUUUCUUGAGAAAUAAAUUUAAUUUAUGUAUUUUUAUUAACUUUUAUUAUUUUAUAAUUUUUGUUUAAAUUUAUGCUAAUAUCUUGAGGGAUUAUCUUUAUGAUAUAGUUUUAUAAUUUAUUUUAUUUUGUUGAUUGUGUUGGAUUUAGGAAUAGUUAUUUUUUUAAGUAUGUUAAAAUUUGAUUUUUUAGUUAAUUAAAUUUGUUUGUAUUAUUUAAAUUAUUUAUUGGGAUAAUAUUUUUAAUUAAAUUUUAUUUUUAUUUAUGAUGGAAUUAGUAUAUUUUGUUUUAGAUUAUUUUAUUUAUGAUUGAUAAGUUGUGAUUAGGAAUUCAGCAAAAUUAGUUUAUUCGUUUGUUUAACAAAAACAUUUCUUCUUGAUUUUAAUGUGAAGUAUAACCUGCCCACUGAUAUUGUUGAAGGGCCGCGGUAUUUUGACCGUGCAAAGGUAGCAUAAUCAUUAGUUUUUUAAUUGGAGGCUGGAAUGAAUGGUUGGACGAGAUAAAAACUGUCUUGUUAUUAAUGAUUUUGAAUUUAACGUUCAAAUUAAAAGGUUUGAAUGGUGUUAUGGGACGAGAAGACCCUAUAGAGUUUGAUAAUGUAAAUAUUGUAUUGCAAGUUAGUUAUUGUUUUAAUUAUUUAUAUUAUUUUGUUGGGGCGAUGGUGAGGAUAGAAGUAACUCUCAUUAUGUUAUUUAUAUUGAUGUAUAUUAUUUUGAUCCAUUAUUUGAUGAUUAUAAGAUUAAAUUACCUUAGGGAUAACAGCGUAAUUUUUUUGGAGAGUUCUAAUCGAUAAAAGAGAUUGCGACCUCGAUGUUGGAUUGAAGAUAAUUAUUGGUGAAGGGGCUAGUAUAAUUAGGUCUGUUCGACCUUUAAAAUCUUACAUGAUCUGAGUUCAAACCGGUGUGAGCCAGGUUGGUUUCUAUCUAUAAUAUAUUAAAUAUUUUAGUACGAAAGGACCAAAUGUUUGGAAUAAUUUUUUUUUGUUGAUUGAUUAUUAAUA